RNAcentral lists this long non-coding RNA (542 nucleotides) under Anser brachyrhynchus (Pink-footed goose). RNAcentral's name for it is "lncRNA (ENSABRG00000022978.1)". Lineage: Eukaryota; Metazoa; Chordata; Aves; Anseriformes; Anatidae. The record is from RNAcentral.
AUGAAACAUUUACAUAAUCAGGUUUAUUUGGACAAUGCUAGAAGGAAAUUUAAUAGAACAAACUCAUACAUGUUAAAAAUAACAAUUACUGAAAAUGUCAUGCCCCUGAAAGAUGUUGAACCGGUUCCAGAGUUCGCUCAUUUGAUUAAGACAAUCUGUUCUCUUUACAGGGAAAUGCAGUGGAUCAAAACGAAGAUACGAAUUCCUCUGUGGGAAGGUGGCAUACGAAACAUUUGCAGCUGUGUGGUUUGGGCACCACAUGUUCUGAAGAAAUACACAGUUGGACUGUCUACACUGAAGUGGUGAAUUCCUGAGCUUGUACUACCUGAGAUAACUUCUUGGCUGAAAAGGGCAUCCUUGUCUAUAACUUUGCUCAUGAGAAAGGUGGAGACUUAAGAAGGAGAAGUGGAGGUGGAAAAAGGGAAAAGAAGAAAUGAGGGGAAGCAGCAGAGGAAGGAUGGUAUGCCAAGUUAUUUUCAACUUAGACAAUUUUGGAGGUUUGCCUAAAGGAAAGUAAAAUAAAAUAAAGGCACUAAAACUCA